UCAUGCUGAGCCCAGCCCACUAUCCCCUUGCUCCCAAUUUUCACCCACCCACUGGCAAUGAUAGCCCUGAUGAGCACAACGAACGACUGUAAAAACCUAGGAGCUGAUUUUAUUUUGCGUUGGCUGAGCUUGAGAAAGGAAAUGAAGCCAGUCAGGAGAAUGCAGGAUGUGGGGACAUUUUAAUGCUGAUAAAGACCAUCGAUUCCUCAAGAUUCUGUCCUGCAUAGAUUAGUCAACUUCUGGAGUGACUAACGCAGAGCUGCAGUUUCCCAGAGCCUCUGGAGUUGCAGAUUGCUCCUUCCACAUGGUCAGCUUGCAUGGUGUCGAUGGAUCAGGAAUGCACUCCCAGUUUCAAGACGCUGGCUUUGCUGUGCUGUGGUAAAUCCAGGGACCCACCUUAACUACCUUUACUGCAGUAGGUGACAGUGAAUGGGCCCUUGCAGAGGGGUUUUAGGGGUUGGACAUUCCACUCCUUUCCCCAAACGGCAUCUCCUGGUUUAAAAGGGUAUUUCCAGCAUUUGGCCUACCGGAAAAACUGCCUCCAUUACCUCUUAAUCUAAUAUUUGGACCUCAUUCUGCCAAAGUUUUUCUUUUAAAAAU
This is a long non-coding RNA of Hyaena hyaena (striped hyena), 600 nucleotides long. RefSeq lists it as uncharacterized. The transcript is spliced from 3 exons. The record is from RefSeq and is a predicted model, not a curated record. Lineage: Eukaryota; Metazoa; Chordata; Mammalia; Carnivora; Hyaenidae.